RNAcentral lists this ribosomal RNA (700 nucleotides) under uncultured bacterium. RNAcentral's name for it is "bacterial SSU rRNA". It matches the Rfam family "Bacterial small subunit ribosomal RNA", at positions 52 to 749 of the family's 1533-position model. The record is from RNAcentral.
AACAUGCAAGUCGAACGGUAACAGGCCGCAAGGUGCUGACGAGUGGCGAACGGGUGAGUAAUGCAUCGGAACGUGCCCAGUCGUGGGGGAUAACGCAGCGAAAGCUGUGCUAAUACCGCAUACGAUCUGUGGAUGAAAGCGGGGGACCUUCGGGCCUCGCGCGAUUGGAGCGGCCGAUGUCAGAUUAGGUAGUUGGUGGGGUAAAGGCUCACCAAGCCAACGAUCUGUAGCUGGUCUGAGAGGACGACCAGCCGCACUGGGACUGAGACACGGCCCAGACUCCUACGGGAGGCAGCAGUGGGGAAUUUUGGACAAUGGGCGCAAGCCUGAUCCAGCAAUGCCGCGUGCAGGAAGAAGGCCUUCGGGUUGUAAACUGCUUUUGUACGGAACGAAACGGUCUGGGUUAAUACCCUGGGCUAAUGACGGUACCGUAAGAAUAAGCACCGGCUAACUACGUGCCAGCAGCCGCGGUAAUACGUAGGGUGCAAGCGUUAAUCGGAAUUACUGGGCGUAAAGCGUGCGCAGGCGGUGAUGUAAGACAGGCGUGAAAUCCCCGGGCUCAACCUGGGAAUUGCGCUUGUGACUGCAUCGCUGGAGUGCGGCAGAGGGGGAUGGAAUUCCGCGUGUAGCAGUGAAAUGCGUAGAUAUGCGGAGGAACACCGAUGGCGAAGGCAAUCCCCUGGGCCUGCACCGACGCUCA